This 414-nucleotide long non-coding RNA is filed under the name Ananas comosus (pineapple). Its description in RNAcentral is "long non-coding RNA (ACOM_LNC043313)". Lineage: Eukaryota; Viridiplantae; Streptophyta; Magnoliopsida; Poales; Bromeliaceae. The record is from RNAcentral.
ACCACUGUACCGACUUCGGAUCGAAGUACCCACCUGUACUAAUAUGGUACAAAUCUUCUACCUGCGGAGGAAAUAUCAACCGUACCUAUGAAGGGUCUACCGGGUUAGUAUCUAACCCACAACUAAUAACCACUGAAAUCACAAAUCCACAAAUUAAUCCGACGGAGAUCGAUUUCCCAAAACUGACUACCGUAACUCGCCGGAAGUCCCGAAGCCGCACCGGGACUCUGCCGAGACCCACGAACUGUCUCAAAAAACACCGACUCAUAGUACGAGUCACCCGCUGCCACAAAACACCAUUAUUCAUGGUUCUUGGCAGCAAACACAUCGUUUUACGUCGAAACGAUUAUCGUCGGAUAAUCGUUUCGAUCCGGGUUCCCGGAAGUGUCAAUUUCGACACCAGAACUCACCGUC